RNAcentral lists this ribosomal RNA (497 nucleotides) under uncultured bacterium. Its description in RNAcentral is "partial 16S ribosomal RNA". It matches the Rfam family "Bacterial small subunit ribosomal RNA", at positions 28 to 507 of the family's 1533-position model. The record is from RNAcentral.
GACGAACGCUGGCGGCGUGCCUAAUACAUGCAAGUUGAGCGCUGAAGGUUGGUACUUGUACCAACUGGAUGAGCAGCGAACGGGUGAGUAACGCGUGGGUAAUCUGCCUUUGAGCGGGGGACAACAUUUGGAAACGAAUGCUAAUACCGCAUAAAAACUUUAAACACAAGUUUUAAGUUUGAAAGAUGCAAUUGCAUCACUCAAAGAUGAUCCCGCGUUGUAUUAGCUAGUUGGUGAGGUAAAGGCUCACCAAGGCGAUGAUACAUAGCCGACCUGAGAGGGGGAUCGGCCACAUUGGGACUGAGACAAGGCCCAAACUCCUACGGGAGGCAGCAGUAAGGAAUCUUCGGGCAUGGACGAAAGUCUGACCGAGCAACGCCGCGUGAGUGAAGAAGGUUUUCGGAUCGUAAAAAUCUGUUGGUAGAGAAGAACGUUGGUGAGAGUGGAAAGCUCAUCAAGUGACGGUAACUACCCAGAAAGGGACGGCUAACUACGUG